GGUUCAUUCAAAUUUCUUCCCUAUCAACUUUCGAUGUUUGGGUAUUGGCCAAACAUGGUUGCGACGGGUAACGGAGGGUUAGGGCUCGACCCCGGAGAAGGAGCCUGAGAAACGGCUACUACAUCCAAGGAAGGCAGCAGGCGCGCAAAUUACCCAAUCCCGACCGGGGGAGGUAGUGACAAUAAAUACUGAUACAGGGCUCUUUUGGGUCUUGUAAUUGGAAUGAGUACAAUUUAAAUCCCUUAACGAGGAACAAUUGGAGGGCAAGUCUGGUGCCAGCAGCCGCGGUAAUUCCAGCUCCAAUAGCGUAUAUUAAAGUUGUGUGGUUAAAAAGCUCGUAGUUG
This 344-nucleotide ribosomal RNA is filed under the name uncultured fungus. RNAcentral's name for it is "SSU rRNA". It matches the Rfam family "Eukaryotic small subunit ribosomal RNA", at positions 292 to 636 of the family's 1831-position model. Lineage: Eukaryota; Fungi. The record is from RNAcentral.